UAUAUUAUAGUUGAAACUCUAGCAAAAAACAUGGAGUGGCUACACUGAAACAAAUUGCUGUAAAUUUACGGUGCAUUUCUAACGGUAUCUUACAGUAUGUCAUAAUAACUGUAACAUAGUUAAAUUUCCAUCCCUUUCUUGUAAAUUAACGGCCAAUGUCAUGAAUAAACAGUUAAAGCUGUCAAUUUACAAUAAUAGCAGACUACCGUAAUUCAACUGCAUGUUACAUAUAUUUUAUGAAGUGGUGGAACUACACAUACAAGUGCAUCUACAUCUUUUGUAGGUUAAUGUAUGGAAGCCCAUGUCAGCCACUGAAAAUCAGGUCCUGUAAGUCAUCAUAAUGAGAUAGUAUCUCAUGAGAUACGAUGAUGACUUUGACAAACAGGACAUUACUAUACAUGCAGCUGUCACUUUUAUCCAAAACGCCCAUGGUUUGACAUAAUUUUAUGUGGAGUAAUUGGAGGUUAGGUGUCUUGCUCAGGGACACUUCAACUAGGCACAGGGAGCAGCCAGGAUUCAAACCGGCAACCUUGUGCUGCACAGCACACCCUCCCUAUCCCAUGCGCCGCCUUCGCUGUCAUUUCAGUGGUUGGAAUGUAAAGAUUAUAAAUAUUUGUAUUAUUCAAAGUGUUCAUUACCUAAAAGUCAUUUGAAUGUUAAUCGUGACCGACUGCUCCUGAACGUGACAUCAGACGCGUAAUCUCAGUUCAUCCAGAACACCUGUCAGCGCAGUUCAACAUCGGAGGAGUUUCUCAUUGCCUGGUCUCUCCAAGUAACGUUGAGGCACUGGAUUAAGGACGCCAGCCGUUUGCUGCGGUCAAUUGAAAGUGUUCCAUAGCGUAUUGUUGCAGUUAGUUUACCUUGUUCCUAAUGAUUUUAUGAUUCAUAUUUUAUGUUUAGAUCUUGGUUACAAAUGCUGAACUGAACUGAGUUUGGUUGUCUUUCUUUAAUUUGUGGGGAAUUAAAUGCAAAAGUAUACGGUUAUAAGUAAACGGUAACAUUCUGGUAUUUAUAACACAAAAACAGUAAUCGUAUGGUAAUCCAAUAUACGACAACAUACCAUAAACUAUGGUAGGGCACUGUAAAUGAAACAGUAAUUUACUAGAGUCGACUGCCAGUAAAUUGCAGUUAAUUCACAGUAAAAUACGUUCAAGUUUACGGUAACAUACAGUAAUCCAUUUUACGGUAACAUAGUGUAAAAACAUUUACGGAAUUAUACCGUAAAAUAACGGUAAAUUCCUGGCGUAGUUUCUGCCAGUAAAAUACCGUUAAUUUACAGUGAAAUUUUUUAGAGUGUAUACUCGUGCACAAAAAAAUUAAUUUUCAAAUGCCAAGAGAAGACAAAGGAAGAAGUUAGACCUUUGAAGCGACAAUUGACGGUGUAAAAAUGAAUUUAUGUAAUAUCUAUGCACCAAAUAUCGAGGAUCCAAGCUUCUUUCAUAAAGUGAAUAAAUUAGUGGAAAGCAUAUUUGAUGGACAUACAAUCAUAGCUGGGGAUUCUAAUCAAGUUUUGGAUGGAGUUCUAGACAAAACAACUUCUUUUAAGUUACCAAAAGAUAGA
Molecule: long non-coding RNA, 1561 nt
Organism: Gasterosteus aculeatus aculeatus (three-spined stickleback)
Lineage: Eukaryota; Metazoa; Chordata; Actinopteri; Perciformes; Gasterosteidae
Source: Ensembl